CAGCCCUGUGGCGAGCACAUAGCUACAGUUUAUUCUCUCGCCUUUUACCAAAGAAUACCGUGUGCACGCCAAUUAUACGGCGUACGCCAAUUUUUUUCAAAAAAAACAUUCCCUUG
Elaeis guineensis (African oil palm) is the source of this 116-nucleotide small nuclear RNA. RefSeq annotates it as U5 spliceosomal RNA. The record is from RefSeq and is a predicted model, not a curated record. NCBI's taxonomy places the organism in Eukaryota, Viridiplantae, Streptophyta, Magnoliopsida, Arecales, Arecaceae.